Myiozetetes cayanensis is the source of this 413-nucleotide long non-coding RNA. RefSeq lists it as uncharacterized. Lineage: Eukaryota; Metazoa; Chordata; Aves; Passeriformes; Tyrannidae. The transcript has 4 exons. The record is from RefSeq and is a predicted model, not a curated record.
GAAAGCUAGAGUAACUUCUGUUGUCAUUCAACCAUUUAGAAUGGCUCCCUGACAUCUAAAUUUCUUCAUUAUUUAUAUCAACUUUGAGCCUGAACCAGAAAUUCUAGUGAUGUAGGUGUCAGUCCUUCCACACUCAGAGACAGAACAACUAUAGCAAUGUUAAAUGGAUAAGGCCAGAGCCCAUAUAGAAGUGAAUGAACUACAAUUUACAUCAUGUGGGUCAUCUGCCCUAUAAUUCCCCAGAUCUGCUUUUGAGCACAGAUGAACAACGGAGAGAAAAAGCUAAGGAACAUUCUCUUGUAAUUGCAUUACUUCCAUGCCUCUUCUACUAGAGGAAUGUCGUGACUGUGAGGAAUCUGCCAAAGAGCCUUAAGUCUUUAGAGAAUCACAGAAUAUGCUGAGUUGGAAGGUAG